RNAcentral lists this ribosomal RNA (408 nucleotides) under uncultured bacterium. RNAcentral describes it as "partial 16S ribosomal RNA". It matches the Rfam family "Bacterial small subunit ribosomal RNA", at positions 29 to 526 of the family's 1533-position model. The record is from RNAcentral.
AGUGAACGCUGGCGGCGUGCCUAAUACAUGCAAGUCGAACGGAUUGGCGAACGGGGGGGUAAUGGAUAGCUUAUCUGCCCUACACUAUAGCACAACAGUGGGAAAAGGCUGCUAAUACUCUUUAGUGUAGGAGGUGGCUAUAAUGUAUCAGCUAGUUGGUGACGUAAUGGCUCACAAAGGCUAUGAUGCAUAACUGGUCUGGGAGGAUGAUCAGUAACACCGGAACUGAGACACGGUUCAGACUCCUACGGGAGGCGGCAUGAGGGAAUAUUGCUCAAUGGGGGAAACCCUGAAGCAGCAUCGCCGCGUGGAGGAUGACACUUUUCGGAGCGUAAACUCGUUUUUUUAGGGAAGCGGUAUCUAACGAGUAAGCACCGGCUAACUCCGUGCCAGCAGCCGCGGUAAUUC